CCGUGCUUGCCUAGCGAACUC
Molecule: microRNA, 21 nt
Filed under: Human alphaherpesvirus 2
Lineage: Duplodnaviria; Heunggongvirae; Peploviricota; Herviviricetes; Herpesvirales; Orthoherpesviridae
Description: hsv2-miR-H4-3p
Gene: hsv2-miR-H4-3p
Source: miRBase by way of RNAcentral